This 1517-nucleotide ribosomal RNA is filed under the name Bifidobacterium pseudocatenulatum DSM 20438 = JCM 1200 = LMG 10505. RNAcentral describes it as "bacterial SSU rRNA". It matches the Rfam family "Bacterial small subunit ribosomal RNA". The record is from RNAcentral. Lineage: Bacteria; Bacillati; Actinomycetota; Actinomycetes; Bifidobacteriales; Bifidobacteriaceae.
AGGGUUCGAUUCUGGCUCAGGAUGAACGCUGGCGGCGUGCUUAACACAUGCAAGUCGAACGGGAUCCAUCAGGCUUUGCUUGGUGGUGAGAGUGGCGAACGGGUGAGUAAUGCGUGACCGACCUGCCCCAUACACCGGAAUAGCUCCUGGAAACGGGUGGUAAUGCCGGAUGCUCCGACUCCUCGCAUGGGGUGUCGGGAAAGAUUUCAUCGGUAUGGGAUGGGGUCGCGUCCUAUCAGGUAGUCGGCGGGGUAACGGCCCACCGAGCCUACGACGGGUAGCCGGCCUGAGAGGGCGACCGGCCACAUUGGGACUGAGAUACGGCCCAGACUCCUACGGGAGGCAGCAGUGGGGAAUAUUGCACAAUGGGCGCAAGCCUGAUGCAGCGACGCCGCGUGCGGGAUGACGGCCUUCGGGUUGUAAACCGCUUUUGAUCGGGAGCAAGCCUUCGGGUGAGUGUACCUUUCGAAUAAGCACCGGCUAACUACGUGCCAGCAGCCGCGGUAAUACGUAGGGUGCAAGCGUUAUCCGGAAUUAUUGGGCGUAAAGGGCUCGUAGGCGGUUCGUCGCGUCCGGUGUGAAAGUCCAUCGCUUAACGGUGGAUCUGCGCCGGGUACGGGCGGGCUGGAGUGCGGUAGGGGAGACUGGAAUUCCCGGUGUAACGGUGGAAUGUGUAGAUAUCGGGAAGAACACCAAUGGCGAAGGCAGGUCUCUGGGCCGUUACUGACGCUGAGGAGCGAAAGCGUGGGGAGCGAACAGGAUUAGAUACCCUGGUAGUCCACGCCGUAAACGGUGGAUGCUGGAUGUGGGGCCCGUUCCACGGGUUCCGUGUCGGAGCUAACGCGUUAAGCAUCCCGCCUGGGGAGUACGGCCGCAAGGCUAAAACUCAAAGAAAUUGACGGGGGCCCGCACAAGCGGCGGAGCAUGCGGAUUAAUUCGAUGCAACGCGAAGAACCUUACCUGGGCUUGACAUGUUCCCGACAGCCGUAGAGAUAUGGCCUCCCUUCGGGGCGGGUUCACAGGUGGUGCAUGGUCGUCGUCAGCUCGUGUCGUGAGAUGUUGGGUUAAGUCCCGCAACGAGCGCAACCCUCGCCCUGUGUUGCCAGCACGUCAUGGUGGGAACUCACGGGGGGACCGCCGGGGUCAACUCGGAGGAAGGUGGGGAUGACGUCAGAUCAUCAUGCCCCUUACGUCCAGGGCUUCACGCAUGCUACAAUGGCCGGUACAACGGGAUGCGACACGGCGACGUGGAGCGGAUCCCUGAAAACCGGUCUCAGUUCGGAUUGGAGUCUGCAACCCGACUCCAUGAAGGCGGAGUCGCUAGUAAUCGCGGAUCAGCAACGCCGCGGUGAAUGCGUUCCCGGGCCUUGUACACACCGCCCGUCAAGUCAUGAAAGUGGGUAGCACCCGAAGCCGGUGGCCUAACCCUUUGUGGAUGGAGCCGUCUAAGGUGAGACUCGUGAUUGGGACUAAGUCGUAACAAGGUAGCCGUACCGGAAGGUGCGGCUGGAUCACCU